UCCGGUUUGAAACCAACUCCCCUCAUCCUGUUACGACUUGCCAUUACAAAAAGUCCCUCCCCAGCAUUCCUGUAGGCCCCUUCAGAUACUGGAAUGCUGCUAUAAGAUCCCCCCAGCACCUUCUCUUCUGCAGGCUGAAAACCCCCAAUUCUGUCAGCCUGUUCCCAUAAGAGAGCUGCUCCAGCUCUCUGGUCGUCUUUGUGGCCCUCCUCUGGACCUGCUCCAACAACUCAAUGUGCAGCUUAAAAACCUGAAAAACAUCAAGGAGGAAAGUAUCAAUUUCGGAUUGGUUCUUUCAGAUAAACUCUGUCCUCUGGAAGACAACUGCAGUUGAACACGUUCAGGAAGAUGAAUUACAAAUAGCCUGCUGGAUUUUUUGAAAAAUAGGUAAUCAGUUUGAUCUUUAUUAUUAUUUCAUCAUAUUAUUUAUAUCAUUUAUUAUUUUAAU
RNAcentral lists this long non-coding RNA (448 nucleotides) under Coturnix japonica (Japanese quail). RNAcentral describes it as "lncRNA (ENSCJPG00005017983.1)". The record is from RNAcentral. Lineage: Eukaryota; Metazoa; Chordata; Aves; Galliformes; Phasianidae.